CCCCGGUAAACGGCGGCCGUAACUAUAACGGUCCUAAGGUAGCGAAAUUCCUUGUCGGGUAAGUUCCGACCUGCACGAAUGGCGUAAUGAUGGCCAGGCUGUCUCCACCCGAGACUCAGUGAAAUUGAACUCGCUGUGAAGAUGCAGUGUACCCGCGGCAAGACGGAAAGACCCCGUGAACCUUUACUAUAGCUUGACACUGAACAUUGAGCCUUGAUGUGUAGGAUAGGUGGGAGGCUUUGAAGUGUGGACGCCAGUCUGCAUGGAGCCGACCUUGAAAUACCACCCUUUAAUGUUUGAUGUUCUAACGUGGACCCGUAAUCCGGGUUGCGGACAGUGUCUGGUGGGUAGUUUGACUGGGGCGGUCUCCUCCUAAAGAGUAACGGAGGAGCACGAAGGUUGGCUAAUCCUGGUCGGACAUCAGGAGGUUAGUGCAAUGGCAUAAGCCAGCUUGACUGCGAGCGUGACGGCGCGAGCAGGUGCGAAAGCAGGUCAUAGUGAUCCGGUGGUUCUGAAUGGAAGGGCCAUCGCUCAACGGAUAAAAGGUACUCCGGGGAUAACAGGCUGAUACCGCCCAAGAGUUCAUAUCGACGGCGGUGUUUGGCACCUCGAUGUCGGCUCAUCACAUCCUGGGGCUGAAGUAGGUCCCAAGGGUAUGGCUGUUCGCCAUUUAAAGUGGUACGCGAGCUGGGUUUAGAACGUCGUGAGACAGUUCGGUCCCUAUCUGCCGUGGGCGCUGGAGAACUGAGGGGGGCUGCUCCUAGUACGAGAGGACCGGAGUGGACGCAUCACUGGUGUUCGGGUUGUCAUGCCAAUGGCACUGCCCGGUAGCUAAAUGCGGAAGAGAUAAGUGCUGAAAGCAUCUAAGCACGAAACUUGCCCCGAGAUGAGUUCUCCCUGAGACUUAGAGUCUCCUGAAGGAACGUUGAAGACGACGACGUUGAUAGGCCGGGUGUGUAA
This 960-nucleotide ribosomal RNA is filed under the name Salmonella enterica subsp. enterica serovar Typhimurium. Its description in RNAcentral is "partial 23S ribosomal RNA". It matches the Rfam family "Bacterial large subunit ribosomal RNA", at positions 1918 to 2872 of the family's 2925-position model. Lineage: Bacteria; Pseudomonadati; Pseudomonadota; Gammaproteobacteria; Enterobacterales; Enterobacteriaceae. The record is from RNAcentral.